Molecule: long non-coding RNA, 3301 nt
Filed under: Bos grunniens (domestic yak)
Lineage: Eukaryota; Metazoa; Chordata; Mammalia; Artiodactyla; Bovidae
Description: lncRNA (ENSBGRG00000006241.1)
Source: RNAcentral
CCCUCUCCAGUGCUCAAAUUACACGUGUGGGCUGUGCCAGGGGGAGAUGUGGUAAGGUCACGGACUCUGAAAUCAGCAAGAACAUUUGGGCUUGGGAGCAGCCUCAUCACUUGUUGAUUAUGGGACCUUGAUCAUCUUUUUUGUCCGUGAAAGGGGCUAGAUUGGUAUGAGAAUUAAAGGGAAAUGAGGGAUAUGAAAGGUUAUUAUAAAAUCUAAAACUCUAAAAAUGUAAUAAGUUAUGUUGCUGACUCCUGCCUACAACCCAACUCUGGUGCUGUUCCUGACAAUGGGAAAUGUGGACAGGCUUUCUGUGAAUAUGGAUCCCCCUGCCAACAGCACCUAGGAAUUUAAACUCAGUGAACUGGGGAUGAGGGUAGGAGCAGGAAGAAAAAGAAAAGCUCAGAAAAGAAGUUUAAAAGUCCAUUCCACCCCAUGGUCUCUAGCUCCUCUAAGUCUAUUCUGCAGGUCAGUCUGUGCCUAUAGCAUGCAGCCUGGGUUUGGGGGCAGCCUUGUCAAUCUGGGGCAGAAGCAUGGUGGUUCAUUUAGUUAUUCGGUCCUGGAAACCAAAGAAUUCAGACAUAAAUAUGUUUUUUCCCCCUGGAGAGUGUGCUGAGGAAGACAGCUAAAAGAAGGCAUGGACUUGGCACCCUACCUGAGCAUCUGUCUUCAGCAGGACCUCUUCUAAAGCCAGCCUCGCUUAACACUGUUCUGAAGGUUCUGAGAUGUUCUCAGAGAGUCUGGGUUUCUACUUCCUGGCCAAGUUGGGCAUCUGAUGAGCGACUGCAGAUGCAAAGGUCCAGAGUGGGAAUUCUUUCUGAAGUGGAUUCCGCAGAAUGAGGAUUCGCCAUCCCAGGGGCCUCACACUCCCUCUGGAUGGGCAGGAUGCCUGCAGAAGCUGAGGUCACCCGGGGAGCAAAGACCAGAGGCCCACAUCCCUGUCUGCUGGGAGCAGACAUCCCUUCAUGAAGAAGAACCUUGGAAUGAGCCAGCUCCCCAUCAACAGGGAACUUCUCCAGGAACUACUAACAACCACAUGAACUUGGGAGUAAUUCUUUCCCUAGUUGAGCUUUCAGAUGAGACCCAGCCCUGGUGAACACCUUACGGAACUUUAUGAGAAACUAUGAAGCAGACGACCCAGCUAAGCUGUACCUGGUUUCUUGACCCACAGAAACUGAUAUAAUAAAUACGUGUUGUUUUAAGCCACUGUGUCUAUGGUAAUUUGAUACAGAGCAAUAGAUAACUGUCUGCAUAACCCAAAUUCCUCCCCAGAAGCCAGUGCUUUCUCUGGCCUCCUCUUUUCUGUGAGCACCCAGCUUGGAGGACCCUGGCUGGUCUGAGUUCUUCUCUGUGCUCUCUCUCUCUUCCCUGAAUCAGUGAAGCUUAAGCUGAUCCCACUUCUUGGCAAUGGAGGGGCAGGCAAAGAGGAGCUGACUUUUGGGACCUAGCAUUAGCAUUUCAGGCAUUCCUGUCAUAGUUUCUCUGUUCAGUUCUGUGCCCAAACAAAUUAAAAAAAAAGUCUUUCUGUCCAGGAUCACUGAAGCUUUGCUGCAAAAAGCAAAGAGCUGAAUAGGCUCUGAGGGGACGUGCGGUUGUUUUGCAGGCAGAACCAGCAAGUCUGAAGGAAGGAUGGUAAUUAAAAGUGGACUUCCAAGUAACAAGUGCUUAAUGCACCUGCACUGAUGGAGGGGCCUUUGCGUCCUGCUGGCCUUGGAGCUAAACGGUACUAAGGCGUGCUGAGAUUGGAGUUCCCGGAUCAUUUAUUGUCUCCCAUUUAUGUAACCUUUCACUGAAACAAAUGGGAAAAAACAACAUGUUUUCUCAAGCCAGCCAAGAAGAGACAGAAAGGCAAUGGGUCCUCUCUGUUGCUGACAGGGCCGUGGCAUGGCGUGAAGGCAUUUUGUCUGCAGCUUCGCUAUAAUGCCAACCAGCACAUCACGUCAGACUGGAGGUUCCUGAGGCCUUGUUGAGUCUGUCAGAGCUGGAUGCUGCUGCACUAUUUUUCCAGUGGGGCCCGGGGUCGGAAGGUUAUUGGGAAGUUAUGAAUCCACUACUGAUUCGUUGCUUUCUCAGCAUACACUGGAUUUCUCUUCAAAAAUGAUGCUCAGUUCAGCAAAAUUGGCAAUGCUCCAAUCUUGGAUAGAGACCUUUGCACCACAGGGCAGGAUAAAGUCAGAGCUGGGGCUUGGGGGACCAGUCUGAUUACUAGCUGUGCUCAGGAAGGGAUGCUGGAAAGGGACCUGGAGACUCCCUGUGUUGGGGUAACAGUGGCUUCCUGUCAGGCUUAUGUGGGCCCAGCUCUGGGUGGUGUAUUUUCCAUGAGGGGCACUUUGGAUUGUCCCCAGCUGCAGGCCCCGAGGCACCCAGCACAGGGCUUGAUACAGAGCAGGCACCAGUACAGACUUGUUAAAUGAAACUCAGCUUCGUGUGACUUUUAUUCCCCCCUGGGACUGAGAUUCAGGGCUCUGUGAACACAUUAACUAGAAAGCAAUGAUGUCUUCUGUGUUGAACACUCAGUUGCAUCUCCGAGUGGAAAUGCAAGAGAAGUGGAAAGAGAAGAUGGAUGUAGCCAAUCUGGAUGCAGCAGGAGCAUCUCCCUAACCGUGGUCAGCAGCUGUGUGGUAUUUGGGAUUGUUCCUAAUGGGCAUGGAAACUGACAACUUUGGGGUGAGCUGACUUAGUGGGAACCCUGGCUCUGCAGUUGACUGGUAGGGCAGGCAGCAUAACCCUUCUGAUUAUGUCUCCUGAGUUUUAGAAUGGGAAAAUCAUGAUGGUUCAUGCAGUACAUUUUGGGUCAAGCGCCUCUCUAAGCCCUUGACACCGAUUCACUCAUGUAAACCUUUCAUCAGACCUGUGUGAUGGAAACCCGAAGAACAUAAGCUCCAUUUUUUAAUGUGAGGAAACAAAGGCACAGGAAGGAGAAGUGAAUGGCUUUAAGUAAGUGGCAGAGUUGGGACCCGAAUAGUGAAAUCUAUCCUGGGGGACUGGGUGAGGGGAGAGGCCGUAAGGAUCAUAUAAGUGACCCCAAGCGUACUUAGUAGCUGGAGACACAGGUAAGCAGAGGAAAGGGGGCGUCUGCAAACCCAUGAGACUCCGCUGCCCAGGGAGGGAGGUCAGCCUCUCUUCCAGGCUUUGGUGCCUCCCUCUACCUUCACCAGGUCCCUGCGGAAGUGCUGCCUCUCCUUCGGCCACCAAGCAGCCCCUGGGCCUUGGUGUUGGCCACCGCCUGGGGAUGCUGACUACUCUGGGAGGGACUUGAGUAGCAGGGAUCAUGAGUUCCGAGUCACGAGUCAGUUCUACGCCA